UACACCAUUUUCAGAGUUUUGUUUCUGUUGAAUUGGGUAUCAAAUGGGGCGUUCAACUUGGAAGUAUCAAGUCUUCUUUUUGUUCUCUUUGAUCUUGCAUUCUCAACUUCCCUUUCCAUCGUCUCUCUCUUCUUCCUUGUCUUCAAUGCCACCAUGCUCUGCUCUACUCCAUUUUAGUAAGUCUUUUUCUCUUGACCAACGUGUUUCUGCCUCAAAUACUUAUCCUAAAACAGCCAGUUGGCGGGAGGAUAAGCACUGUUGCAGUUGGGAUGGGGUCGAGUGUGACAAAAACAAAAGCCAUGUGGUUGGCCUGGACCUUACUUCCAGCUGGCUUAUGGGCCACAUUCAUUCCAACGGUACCCUGUUUUUUCUUCCCAAUCUCAGGAGGUUGAACCUCGCUGACAAUCACUUCCGUGGCUCCCUAAUUCCUUCUGAGUUUGGCAACUUUAAGAGUUUGACUUAUCUCAACCUUUCUUUUUCCGUAUUUUCUGGCCAAAUCCCGUUUGAAAUCUCUCAGUUGUCUUCACUGGUUUCACUUGAUCUUUCUAAGAAUGGGCUCUUAAUCAAAGCUCCAGUCUGGAAAAGAGUCAUUGGUAACCUAACUCAGUUAAGGGAACUUAUUCUGGAUAGGACAAAUAUGUCCUCAAUUAGAACUAAUUCUUUGAUGAAUCUAUCCUCCUCUUUGACAACUCUUAGUCUCCGUUACUGUGACUUGCGGGGAAAACUCGAAAAUAACAUCCUCUGCCUUCCCAGUAUACAAACCCUUGAUCUUUCUGAGAAUUGGUUAUCAAUCGAAGCUCCAGUAUGGAAAAGUGUCAUUGGUAACCUAACUCAGUUAAGGGAACUUCUUCUGGGUGGGACAAAUAUGUCCUCAAUUAGACCUAAUUCUUUGACGAAUCUAUCCUCCUCUUUGACAACUCUUAGUCUCCAUUACUGUGACUUGCGGGGAAAACUUGAAGAUAACAUCCUCUGCCUUCCCAGUAUACAAACCCUUGAUUUGUCAGAUUAUAGUUUUAACGGUCUGUUGCCGUCAUCACUAUUCAACUUGCCGAAUCUCUCAACUUUAGACCUUGGGUACAAUCAACUUGUUGGUCCCCUUCCUAGUCAUGUAAGUGGUUUGAAUCUAAUUGUUCUCUCUUUAAGUUCAAAUUUCCUAAAUGGAACACUGCCAUCUUGGUUGUUCAGUAUGCCAUCUUUGGAGACUUUGUAUCUUGAUCGUAAUCAAUUCUUUGGUGAGAUUGGUGAAUUCAAGUACAAUUCAUUGAAGAAUCUUGAUUUGGGUUAUAAUAAGCUACAUGGCUCUAUACCUAGGUCAGUAUCUAGACUUGUGAACCUUACUAUCCUAUCUCUCCCAUCAAAUAACUUGAGUAUUAUGUUGGGGUCUAAAAUGUUUUCAAAGUUCAAAAAUCUUGAGACUCUUGAUUUGUCAAAUAACUCAGUUAGCAUCAAUAAUAAUGCUGCCUAUGCCCUGCCCAAUCUUCAAUAUUUGAACUUGGCUUACUCCAAUAUCAGUGAAUUCCCAAGAUGGUUGGGGGAUGUGGGGAAUAAUUCAUUAUAUUAUGUUGAUCUUCGUAACAAUUUGCUACAAGGACAAUUUCCCACUCUAAAUUCUUCCAAUUUGCAAUUCAUCUUUUUCUCCAAUAACAAUUUAACGGGAGAAAUCCCUUCUUUAAUUUGCGAUGCAAUUCACCUUGGAGUUCUAGACUUGUCUCAUAACAACUUAAGUGGCAUGAUUCCUAAGUGUUUGGUAAACUCUACUUCCCUCUCGGUCUUGGAUUUGCGAAUGAAUAGCCUUCAUGGUACCAUUCCUACAACAUUUGUGAUCAGAAAUAAUUUUAGGACUAUUAACCUUAAUGGCAAUCAAUUGGAAGGGCCAUUACCACCAUCUUUGGCAAAUUGUAGGGACUUGGAAAUUCUAGAUCUUGGAAACAAUAAGAUAAAUGGAGUCUUCCCUUAUUGGUUGGGAAGUCUUUAUAAAUUGCAAGUUCUUGUCAUAAGAUCAAAUAGAUUUCAAGGUCGUAUAGGCAAUCCUAAAACCAAAUUUCCUUUCCCGAAUUUGCGAAUCAUAGACAUCUCUAACAAUCAGUUUAAUGGUCCUUUGCCAAUAAAAUAUUUCAAAUAUUUGAAAGCCAUGAAGAUUGUGGAAGAAAGUGAAGUUGCAUCGAAAUAUAUGGGAGAAAAUUAUUAUCAAGAUUCAUUGAAUAUCAUGAUGAAAGGGCAUUAUAUUGAGAUGGAGAGAGUCCUAACCAUCUUAACAAGCAUUGAUUUUUCAAACAAUAGUUUCAGAGGAGAGAUGCCAAAGAUAAUUGGAAGGCUUAAAUCACUCAAGGGGCUCAACUUUUCUUACAAUAACCUUAUAGGUUAUAUUCCAUCAUCAAUUGGAAAUUUGACCAAUCUUGAAUGGUUGGACCUCUCUUUCAACAAGCUCGGUGGGGAGAUUCCUAGUCAAUUGACAGAUCUAACAUCGCUUGAAGUCUUAAAUCUAUAACAUAACCAACUCACAGGACACAUACCUUCAGGAAAUCAAUUCAAUACAUUCAACAAUAAUUCGUACACCGAAAACUUGGGAUUGUGUGGGUUUCCAUUGUCAAGAACAUGCGACAACAAUGAGGCAAAGCAACCACCACCACCUACCUUGCAACAAGAUGAAAAUUUAGAGCAUGAAAAUGGGUUUGGUUGGCAAGCUGUAUCCAUAGGUUACGCAAGUGGAACAAUAUUCGGAAUGUUUAUGGGAUAUCUUAUGUUUAAAAUUGGAAAACCAAAGUGCCUUGUGAGGAUGGUCAAAUUAGAGCAGCAUAUCAUGCUUAGAAGAUUGAAGAAGAAUGCCCACAAACGUGGUGGAAGAAGAUAACUGUUUCUAUGGCUAUGGUGGAAUAACUUUAGCACUGGUAAUUAUAGACUGAGGCCCUUAGACUUUUGUGCCCGCCUGCCUAGAGAUUUCUUUCUGCUCCCUUGAGGAGAAAAACAAGUGAGGAUUUCAAUGGAUUCGACUUAGCCUUGGGCAGUUAAUUGUGAUAGUUGGUGUUGGAGUUUGUAUUAGGUCCAAAAUUUCCUCCACCUUGGAUGGGAGAAGGUUAUGAGCUAAGCAUCUCAAACUUCAUGGCAUACUGUGAACUGAAGAUUGGCUAUCUAAAUGAAUGUUCUCAGGUGUGGCAAGUGCAUCAAGUAUGAAAAAAAAUACCUAUCACAUAUUCUCACCUCCUUACAUAUAACACGCCUCAUGCUCUUUUAAUUUAGUUCCAGUAUAAUUUUGAAAGGAGUUCGUGCCCGUAACAUGCAAGGAAUUGCAAUGUCUUAGAUCUUCACUGCUAUGUCUUAGCCUGCUCAAAUUUAUUGAUAACUAUGUGCAUUAUCUGACAUAUGAGGUAGCUAUUUCCUAUCCUCUAGCAAAAUUUGUUUUCCACUCUUUGUGAAGAUAUUUCCAUAUUGCUAAGGCUUUUUAGUGAGACCCUUUGUCUCAUAGAAUGAUUUCUUUUCUACAUAUACUGUUGUUUAUCAACAAAGCUCAAGUGCUACUCCAGUUUUCUUUUGAAAGAAAGUAGGGGAAAGAUGUUGGAUGGAGAGAUCUAAUUGAAAAGUUGAGAACAAUGAACAAGAAAAAUGUGAGAAAGCUCCUAAUCAACAUGUUGAGCCCAAGAAAAUUUGUGAAGAUUCAACUCAAUGGAUUCUCUUUCUAUGAGUUCUCUUUGGGGUUUAUUCUUAGUAGCCAGUUUUUUCAAAUGUAGUAAUUGAUGUGCCUAUAGUAUGCCACAGUAGCUCAAUUUUUUAUAUCGUCUUCCAUUGACAUUCUUAAGCUAGAUGAAUCUUUUGUUGGUUUAAUUGGGAACACAAGAAGUCCAUCAAGGGCACUUAACUAGCUCCAGAAUUCUACAAUCCUGAUUCCAUUCUAUAAGUGACACAUAUACCUCUCUCUCUCUCUCUCUCUCUUUGUUUGUGUGUCUCUUUAAUCUUUCGCACUUUUUGCAUCAAAUUCAAGAGAUAAUUCAGUGCUAAGCUUUAGAGCUAAGAGGCAAGGUUGAGUAGAGUUGCAAGACAGAGCCAUACUUGAUUCAUCUUUGCACAAUGAGGUUGGAAAAGACAAAUAAUUGAGUUUUUUCUGAUGAACAAUAAAUGAAUAUGUUCAUGUAAAAUAAGAUUGGAGGACAAAGAUUUGUCAGAAUUAUAUUUUCUGUGUAUAGAACUUUUACAUUGGUCUGAAUAUAUAGAUGUUGUUACAAUGAACCUAGACAAAAAUAUUGACAGCAUAAUCCCAUAAUUGCAGCUAGACAGAAUAGUAAUAGCUACCAAAUCCCAUAAUUAUUGCUAAUUGGAAACCCCUUAAUUGAGCUGAUUGGGAAUCCCUUAAUUGUCUCUAAUACUCCCCCUCAAGGUGGAGCGUGUACAUGAGUAACGCCUAGCUUGCUGAUAAGACGACGAAAAGAAUCCUUACCCAAAGGUUUGGUAAAAAUGUCAGCAAUUUGGUCAAGGGAUCGAAUAUGACAAGGUUGAACCAAUUUGGAUUGGAUUUUUUGUGUACAGAACUUUUACAUCGGUCUUAAUAUAUAGAUGCUGUUACAAUGAACCUAGACAAAAAAUUAACAGUUGCCAAAUCCCAUAAUUACAGCUGACUGGAAACCCCUUAAUUAAGCUGAUUGGGGAUCCCUUAAUUGUCUCUAAUAGUUCAACACACCAUAUAUGUCGGGUUUGUGAUUUGAAUAUUGUUGUUCACUUGUUUGUAUCUAGGAUAUGUGAUUCCUUAAAUAGCCUUAACAAACAUGAACAUCUUGUGAGUUUGUAUAGAUUUUUAUUAUUGUUAUGGUACUACAAAAAAUUAACAGUUGCCAAAUCCCAUAAUUACAGCUGACUGGAAACCCCUUAAUUAAGCUGAUUGGGAAUCCCUUAAUUGUCUCUAAUAGUUCAACACACCAUAUAUGUCGGGUUUGUGAUUUGAAUAUUGUUGUUCAUUUGUUUGUAUCUAGGAUAUGUGAUUCCUUAAAUAGCCUUAACAAACAUGAACAUCUUGUGAGUUUGUAUAGAUUUUUAUUAUUGUUAUGGUACUACAAAAAAUUAACAGUCCAUAAUUACAGCUGACUAGAAACCCCUUAAUUAAGCUGAUUGGGAAUCCCUUAAUUGUCUCUAAUAGUUCAACACACCAUAUAUGUCGGGUUUGUGAUUUGAAUAUUAUCGUUCACUUGUUUGUAUCUAGGAUAUGUGAUUCCUUAAAUAUCCUUAACAAACAUGAAAAUCUUGUGAGUUUGUAUAGAUUUUUAUUAUUGUUGUGGUACUAGGUAUUAUA
This is an RNA transcript of Quercus lobata, 5275 nucleotides long. It is a transcript of the gene named receptor-like protein 35, with no coding region annotated. Lineage: Eukaryota; Viridiplantae; Streptophyta; Magnoliopsida; Fagales; Fagaceae. The record is from RefSeq and is a predicted model, not a curated record. The transcript has 6 exons.